Molecule: ribosomal RNA, 1219 nt
Filed under: Candidatus Phytoplasma trifolii
Lineage: Bacteria; Bacillati; Mycoplasmatota; Mollicutes; Acholeplasmatales; Acholeplasmataceae
Description: bacterial SSU rRNA
Rfam family: Bacterial small subunit ribosomal RNA
Source: RNAcentral
CGACUGCUAAGACUGGCUUCUUAUGAAGGUAUGCUUAAAGAGGGGCUUGCGCCACAUUAGUUAGUUGGUAGGGUAAAAGCCUACCAAGACGAUGAUGUGUAGCUGGACUGAGAGGUUGAACAGCCACAUUGGGACUGAGACACGGCCCAAACUCCUACGGGAGGCAGCAGUAGGGAAUUUUCGGCAAUGGAGGAAACUCUGACCGAGCAACGCCGCGUGAACGAUGAAGUAUUUCGGUAUGUAAAGUUCUUUUAUUGAAGAAGAAAAAGUAGUGGAAAAACUAUAUUGACGUUAUUCCAUGAAUAAGCCCCGGCUAACUAUGUGCCAGCAGCCGCGGUAAGACAUAGGGGGCGAGCGUUAUCCGGAAUUAUUGGGCGUAAAGGGUGCGUAGGCUGUUAGAUAAGUCUAUAAUUUAAUUUCAGUGCUUAACGCUGUCUUGUUAUAGAAACUGUCUUGACUAGAGUGAGAUAGAGACAAGCGGAAUUCCAUGUGUAGCGGUAAAAUGUGUAAAUAUAUGGAGGAACACCAGAAGCGUAGGCGGCUUGCUGGGUCUUUACUGACGCUGAGGCACGAAAGCGUGGGUAGCAAACAGGAUUAGAUACCCUGGUAGUCCACGCCGUAAACGAUGAGUACUAAGUGUCGGGGUAAAACUCGGUACUGAAGUUAACACAUUAAGUACUCCGCCUGAGUAGUACCUACGCAAGUAUGAAACUUAAAGGAAUUGACGGGACUCCGCACAAGCGGUGGAUCAUGUUGUUUAAUUCGAAGAUACACGAAAAAUCUUACCAGGUCUUGACAUACUCUGCAAAGCUAUAGAAAUAUAGUGGAGGUUAUCAGGGAUACAGGUGGUGCAUGGUUGUCGUCAGUUCGUGUCGUGAGAUGUUAGGUUAAGUCCUAAAACGAGCGCAACCCUUGUCGUUAAUUGCCAGCACGUAAUGGUGGGGACUUUAGCGAGACUGCCAAUUAAAACAUUGGAGGAAGGUGAGGAUUACGUCAAAUCAUCAUGCCCCUUAUGAUCUGGGCUACAAACGUGAUACAAUGGCUGUGACAAAGAGUAGCUGAAACGCGAGUUUUUAGCCAAUCUCAAAAAAGCAGUCUCAGUUCGGAUUGAAGUCUGUAACUCGACUUCAUGAAGUUGGAAUCGCUAGUAAUCGCGAAUCAGCAUGUCGCGGUGAAUACGUUCUCGGGGUUUGUACACACCGCCCGUCAAACCACGAAA